GCCGCUCGACGAUAGACGCAAUUCUGCGC
RNAcentral lists this small RNA (29 nucleotides) under Bombyx mori (domestic silkworm). RNAcentral describes it as "ovarian small RNA-16709". The record is from RNAcentral. Lineage: Eukaryota; Metazoa; Arthropoda; Insecta; Lepidoptera; Bombycidae.